AUGGCUGCAGCGGCGAUUUCCGGCGGUCACCUCGUCCUCUCCACCCCUACCUCCACCCGGCGCCCACGGUCGCUCCCCCUCCGUCCGCCCUCAGCGCGACCAAUCGACGCAUCCUCCGCCUCCGCAGCCCGCCGCGGGGUCGCGGCCGCCGCAGUGUCCAGCCCUGCCGCGGUCCCCUCCACUGGGAAAGAUGCAAAACAGCUUCCUAAGGAUUUUCUUCAUAUCAAUGAUUUUGACAAAGAUACAAUCAUGAAGAUCCUUAACCGAGCAAUUGAGGUUAAGGCAAUGAUAAAGUCAGGAGACAGGAGCUUCCAACCGUUCAAAGGAAAGUCGAUGGCAAUGGUCUUCGCCAAGCCGUCAAUGAGGACCCGUGUUUCGUUUGAAACAGGAUUCUUCUUGCUUGGUGGGCAUGCUGUUUAUUUAGGUCCCGAUGAUAUCCAGAUGGGCAAGCGUGAGGAGACCCGUGAUGUUGCUCGUGUACUUUCUGGAUAUAAUGACAUCAUUAUGGCCAGGGUUUUUGCUCACCAGGAUAUUUUGGACUUGGCAAAAUAUGCACCUGUACCUGUCAUAAAUGGCCUUACAGACUACAACCAUCCGUGCCAGAUAAUGGCUGAUGCGCUCACUAUGCUUGAACAUGUUGGGCGUAUUGAAAACACCAAGGUUGUCUAUGUUGGAGAUGGCAACAAUAUUGUACACUCAUGGCUUCUAUUGGCUGCUGUGAUUCCCUUCCACUUUGUAUGCGCUUGUCCUAAGGGCUUUGAGCCAGAUGCCAAAACUGUGGAGAUCGCUAGGAGUGGUGGAAGUAAGAUUGAAAUAACAAAUGAUCCCAAGGAAGCAGUUAAGGGAGCAGAUGUUGUGUAUACAGAUGUUUGGGCCAGCAUGGGCCAAAAGGAGGAAGCUGAAUAUAGGAAAAAAGUAUUCCAAGGAUUCAUGGUGGAUGAAGCCCUGAUGGAGAUGGCUGGUCCAAAAGCCUUCCUCAUGCAUUGUUUGCCCGCGGAGAGAGGGGUGGAGGUAACAGAUGGUGCCAUCGAGGCUCCCAACUCGAUCGUAUUCCCCCAGGCAGAGAACAGAAUGCACGCGCAGAACGCAAUCAUGCUUCAUGUGCUUGGAGCUUGA
RNAcentral lists this ribosomal RNA (1116 nucleotides) under Triticum aestivum (bread wheat). RNAcentral describes it as "partial small subunit ribosomal RNA". The record is from RNAcentral. Lineage: Eukaryota; Viridiplantae; Streptophyta; Magnoliopsida; Poales; Poaceae.